RNAcentral lists this ribosomal RNA (776 nucleotides) under uncultured Neocallimastigales. RNAcentral describes it as "partial large subunit ribosomal RNA". It matches the Rfam family "Eukaryotic large subunit ribosomal RNA", at positions 23 to 647 of the family's 3401-position model. Lineage: Eukaryota; Fungi; Neocallimastigomycota; Neocallimastigomycetes; Neocallimastigales. The record is from RNAcentral.
UAUAGAGACUCAGAGCUGCAUAUCAAUAAGCGGAGGAAAAGAAACUAACAAGGAUUCCCUUAGUAACGGCGAGUGAAGCGGGAAGAGCUCAAAUUUGAAAUCUUCAAGGUUCUACCUUGACGAAUUGUAGUUUAUAGAAGUGUUUUCUGUUAGUGGAGUGGCAAAAGUUCUUUGGAAUAGGACAUCAUAGAGGGUGAGAAUCCCGUAUUUGGUCAUUCCUCAUAGCGUUGUGACACACUUUCAACGAGUCGGAUUGUUUGGGAAUGCAGUCCAAAAUGGGUGGUAAAUUUCAUCUAAAGCUAAAUAUUGGCGAGAGACCGAUAGCGAACAAGUACCGUGAGGGAAAGAUGAAAAGAACUUUGAAAAGAGAGUUAAACAGUACGUGAAAUUGUCAAAAGGGAAGCGUUUGACACCAGUGUUGUUUUUCCGAAAAUCAAUUACGAAUGUUUUAUUUUUGAGGAGUUAUGACUUCAUCGGCUUGCUCCUUUCUUUAUGAAACUUUCUUAAUGCACUUUUCGGUUAACAAGUCAACAUCAAUUUCUUUUGUUGUAAAAGGGUAUGAGGAAGGUGGCUUUCUUUUCGGAGAAAGUGUUUAUAGCCUUGUAGCCUCUGCAAUCGGAGAGAUUGAGGUCUGCAGCGUAGAUCCUUCGGGGUUAGAUACAUUUGUGCUAAGUUAUAGCUUUUCAUAGACAACUUGUUGACUAUGUUUAGUCUUGUAGCUUACUCGCUUAUGCUAUUUUACCUACGCUUAGGAUGUUGACGAGACUGUCGAUCUC